RNAcentral lists this ribosomal RNA (430 nucleotides) under Bacteroidota bacterium. RNAcentral describes it as "Bacteroidetes bacterium partial 16S ribosomal RNA". It matches the Rfam family "Bacterial small subunit ribosomal RNA", at positions 355 to 776 of the family's 1533-position model. The record is from RNAcentral. Lineage: Bacteria; Pseudomonadati; Bacteroidota.
UAGGGAAUCUUCGGCAAUGGGGGGAACCCUGACCGAGCAACGCCGCGUGAGUGAAGAAGGUUUUCGGAUCGUAAAGCUCUGUUGUUAAGGAAGAACGAGUGUGAGAAUGGAAAGUUCAUACUGUGACGGUAUCUAACCAGAAAGCCACGGCUAACUACGUGCCAGCAGCCGCGGUAAUACGUAGGUGGCAAGCGUUGUCCGGAUUUAUUGGGCGUAAAGCGAGCGCAGGCGGUCAAUUAAGUCUGAUGUGAAAGCCCCCGGCUCAACCGGGGAGGGUCAUUGGAAACUGGUUGACUUGAGUGCAGAAGAGGAGAGUGGAAUUCCAUGUGUAGCGGUGAAAUGCGUAGAUAUAUGGAGGAACACCAGUGGCGAAGGCGACUCUCUGGUCUGUAACUGACGCGGAGGUUCGAAAGCGUGGGUAGCAAACAGG